Molecule: RNA transcript, 2468 nt
Organism: Hemicordylus capensis (graceful crag lizard)
Lineage: Eukaryota; Metazoa; Chordata; Lepidosauria; Squamata; Cordylidae
Gene: NMRK1
Gene name: nicotinamide riboside kinase 1
Exons: 10
Source: RefSeq, a predicted model, not a curated record
GCAAACUGGAUCCAAGGUGCUGCUCCCCCUAGGGGCCGUUGCGGGACUUUGCAACUAUUGAGAAAGAAGGGAGCAGGCAGCAGCUUGCCGGUGCCAAAUCACCCUACCAGGCGGCGCUCAUGGGGAGGAGCGAGCUGCAGAAGCCAGCCAAUCACGACGUGCCCUCUCGCCUGAGAGGGCUCCGUGGGCCAAGGUGUCCGGGCCAAUAAAAAAGUCGCAAUGGGAGCUUGAUGCCUGUUGUAUUUGCAUAGAGCGCGGUUGGUCUUUGCCUUCGAUAGAGGGCGGGGCUUAUUGAAGGAAAAGAAUCUAAAAGCGGUCCACAGUGGAUGAGGCGGGGUUUGUUGCCUGUGCUGUGUAAGGUAGCCAAGAAAAUGCUGGUCAUUGGACUUGGAGGUGUAACAAAUGGAGGAAAAACUACUCUGGCAAGAAAGCUCAAGAAACAGCUUCCAAAUUGUACUGUAAUCUCUCAAGAUGACUUUUUUAAGCCAGAAUCUGAAGUGGCUGUAGAUGACCGUGGAUUUUUACAGUAUGAUGUUCUUGACGCCCUACAUAUGGAUAAAAUGGUGGCAAGCAUACGCUCUUGGAUGACGAACCCAGAGGACUCUGCAUUGACAAGACUACCAAGUAGUACACAGGAUAACCAGAAAGGAAGAGAAGACAUUUGUGUCUUAAUUGUAGAAGGCUUCCUUCUGUAUAACUACAAGCCUCUCAGUGAUGUAUGGGAUAAAAAAUACUUUCUAACCAUUCCUUAUGAAGAAUGCAAGAGAAGAAGAAGCAGUCGAAUUUAUAAUCCACCAGACCCACCAGAGUACUUUGACGGACAUGUGUGGCCCAUGUAUUUGAAACACAAGAGAGAAAUGGAAGAAAAUGAAACUGACAUUGGCCAUGCAACCUAGUACAGUGGUCCCUCGACUUACGAAGUUAAUCCGUUCCGAACGCACGUUCGUAGGUCGAAAUUUUCGUAAGUCGAAAAGCGCACCACGGAGGUCUGGAAACAUUUGUAAGUCGAGGAAACCGCAUCUAAAAAUUCGUAAGUCGAGGAAGCCGCAUCUAAACCGGCAAUGACUUCCGGUCAUUUUUGUCAUUCUUUAUUUGGAUGGAACAAAAUCACAAGAAGAUCUUUACUCAAGAAUAUAUAACGAUAUAGUACAGGAUCUGGAAAAGCAAAGUGCACAAAACUCUGUUAAACACGCAUAAAUCCUGAGUGUGUUCUAGUCCUGGAUGAGCAAGUAUUCACCUCCCUAAAAUAUUAUUCCUAAAGAAUGUUUUACAAAGCCAACUGAAGCCCUUCUAAAGCAGCAUCAACUAGGUGUGCCAUGGCAUUAUGAAGAAGGCUUGCUUUGUAUCUUUACAAAGUGCCACACCAGAUACACUGGUGUGUAUCACACCAGUGCCACACCAGAUACACUGCCAGAUUCUCAGUUUGCAGUUCUUGUGUCUAUCUUAUAUUUUCAUUCUGGAUGGGGGAAACUCCAGCUCUGCCUUCUGUUGCCCUCCCUCCUUCCUCACAGCAACCGUUUCACCUCACAAAAGUGCCUGGAAGCAGCACAGCUGCCAAGUUCUUCAACCAGUUCUCCUUCUCACUUCAGGCUGGGGAGCACUGUUGCCUAUCAGCUGCACUUAUUCCUUAAUCUAGCUGGCUACAGGCAUUUCCCCCCUUUUUUGCUCUCCUCCACAAAGACUUUGGUUAUUCUACUUCUUCAGCAACACUGCUAAAGGGAAGCUGCUUGUUAUAUAUCUAGACAAAUGGAGGUGGAAAGAAGCCCUCUUUUCCACAUGCACACCCCCGCCCCCAGCAGCAACAAGGGCUGCUGCAGCUUCAGUGACGGAUGCCAUGGCAAGCAGAACUCCUUUUCACAGCAAGCUACCCCUGAGUGUGGCACCAGCCUCUUAUAAGGCCAGAAAUCGAAAGAUAUUCCAGAUAUUCAAAUUUUGUCUUGGCAGCAAGGGAAGCAUUAACUUUUUAUCUUGCUUAAUCAAGAUGAUUUAUUUUUAAUGCAUUUCCUAGACACCUUUUGAUUUGUAUUAAGUGAGGUAAACAGCUGUAGUAGAACAUUAGUAAGUUCUGUGCAAUCUUUGAGUUAGUUAUAAUAGAGAUUUCUCUAAUUUCACUAAAGAGCUGCAAUAGAAUGUUUUGCACUCUGCAGUAUUAUAGAUUAGAGGUAAUUGAUAAAGCAGUAUUCUGAUACAGUAUUCUGAGCAAGACUAAGUAUCUAGUCUGUUCACUUGAAACACUGAAGAGUGCUAAAGGAGUUUUUAGGGCAAAAUGUAAACUACAACACUUGGAAGAAACUGAGAUAACAAGCCUCCAGCCCUUCUGCCAAUUGGCUAUAUUUCUCUUGGUGCUUAUCUUAAAGAGAAUGUGUUUGUCUUAAAUCCUUAAGAGAGUAGUGGGUAAAAUGUUUAGGACAGAUUAUACCGGUUUCAGCAACAAGACUCCAAAUAAAUUUCUUUCUCCCAAUACAUAA